Molecule: long non-coding RNA, 950 nt
Filed under: Olea europaea subsp. europaea
Lineage: Eukaryota; Viridiplantae; Streptophyta; Magnoliopsida; Lamiales; Oleaceae
Source: RNAcentral
CUCUAGCUCAUCAUUUAAGCAACCAAAACCCAAUGGUUUGCCCAAAUUAAACAAAACAAAAAACACCAUUGUUUUGCCUCUAUACCCAUGAAACACCACAGAGAGGGGAUGAAAAUGUAACCAAAGCCCGAUCAACACCUAAUCUUGACAAAGCCUAUUGCGUCGAACAACAAGCCUUAAAUUUUGAAAUAAUCCAACAAAUUAGCAAGCCCAAAUCAAUGAAGCAGUAGGCUCGACGAAAUUAAAUUAAGCCCAAUCCAAAAAAAAAUGUUAUAAUCUCUGCCCAGUUAUUAAAAAAAACCAACAAAGUCAUAUCUCAACAACAAUAAUCUAUAGAUCACGGCCCAAGUAAAAUAACAGCCCAAAUAUCCAGCCCAAAACCAUUGAAUCUAAAGAAAAUUACUACCUAAAUCCAACCACAAUUACAAGCAAUGAUGCUUGCAGUUCAUCACCAAAAAAGAAAGCUAUAAUGCCGAGCAAUACCCAGGAUUUCAACAACUUGAAGAUGCUGAAAUUAGCAAUUGAGGACACCGUAAUCUACCAAAAGAGUCCACCAAUUCUCUCCAAAUAUUCACUGACGUGGGAGGGAAGCAUUGACUUCACAAAGAUGGAUAAUCAAAUUCCAGGCUUGACUCAAGGUCAUCUGUUUUCCUUAUAGCACUCUGAAGAAAGACCCAGCCAAAAACCAGCACUAAAAACAAACAAUAGCCCAUAACUACAGUCUAAAACAGCAUGCCCAUCGACCCUAAGUCGCCGCCUCCACUACCACAUCGUCGACAGUCAACCAACCCCGAUUUAUCUGCACAAAUAGGGGCUGAAAGUAGUGAAGAAAAUGAGGCACACAUGUGAUGGUUUCUAAGUCAAAAGUCAGCAACAUACGUCAACGGUAAGAGAGAAGUGGUCACACUAAAGGAACGAAGUGGCAGCGGUGGGCCUGGGAAGAAGAAAGG